This 20-nucleotide non-coding RNA is filed under the name Arabidopsis thaliana (thale cress). The record is from RNAcentral. Lineage: Eukaryota; Viridiplantae; Streptophyta; Magnoliopsida; Brassicales; Brassicaceae.
GUGCGGUUCAACUGCGGAUA